GCAAGUAGAACGCUGAAGAGAGGAGCUUGCUCUUCUUGGAUGAGUUGCGAACGGGUGAGUAACGCGUAGGUAACCUGCCUUGUAGCGGGGGAUAACUAUUGGAAACGAUAGCUAAUACCGCAUAACAAUGGGUGACACAUGUCAUUUAUUUGAAAGGGGCAAUUGCUCCACUACAGGAUGGACCUGCGUUGUAUUAGCUAGUAGGUGAGGUAACGGCUCACCUAGGCGACGAUACAUAGCCGACCUGAGAGGGUGAUCGGCCACACUGGGACUGAGACACGGCCCAGACUCCUACGGGAGGCAGCAGUAGGGAAUCUUCGGCAAUGGGGGCAACCCUGACCGAGCAACGCCGCGUGAGUGAAGAAGGUUUUCGGAUCGUAAAGCUCUGUUGUAAGUCAAGAACGAGUGUGAGAGUGGAAAGUUCACACUGUGACGGUAGCUUACCAGAAAGGGACGGCUAACUACGUGCCAGCAGCCGCGGUAAUACGUAGGUCCCGAGCGUUGUCCGGAUUUAUUGGGCGUAAAGCGAGCGCAGGCGGUUUGAUAAGUCUGAAGUUAAAGGCUGUGGCUCAACCAUAGUUCGCUUUGGAAACUGUCAAACUUGAGUGCAGAAGGGGAGAGUGGAAUUCCAUGUGUAGCGGUGAAAUGCGUAGAUAUAUGGAGGAACACCGGUGGCGAAAGCGGCUCUCUGGUCUGUAACUGACGCUGAGGCUCGAAAGCGUGGGGAGCGAACAGGAUUAGAUACCCUGGUAGUCCACGCCGUAAACGAUGAGUGCUAGGUGUUGGAUCCUUUCCGGGAUUCAGUGCCGCAGCUAACGCAUUAAGCACUCCGCCUGGGGAGUACGACCGCAAGGUUGAAACUCAAAGGAAUUGACGGGGGCCCGCACAAGCGGUGGAGCAUGUGGUUUAAUUCGAAGCAACGCGAAG
Molecule: ribosomal RNA, 927 nt
Filed under: uncultured bacterium
Lineage: Bacteria
Description: bacterial SSU rRNA
Rfam family: Bacterial small subunit ribosomal RNA
Source: RNAcentral